Molecule: ribosomal RNA, 494 nt
Filed under: uncultured bacterium
Lineage: Bacteria
Description: partial 16S ribosomal RNA
Rfam family: Bacterial small subunit ribosomal RNA
Source: RNAcentral
GACGAACGCUGGCGGCGUGCUUAACACAUGCAAGUCGAACGGUGAAGCGCCUUCCUUUUUGGUGGGUGUGGAUGAGUGGCGAACGGGUGAGUAACACGUGAGUAACCUGCCCCCUUCUUCUGGAUAACCGCAUGAAAGUGUGGCUAAUACGGGAUAUUCUGGGUCUGUCGCAUGAUGGGUCUGGGAAAGAUAUUGUUUCGGUGGGGGAUGGGCUCGCGGCCUAUCAGCUUGUUGGUGGGGUGAUGGCCUACCAAGGCGGUGACGGGUAGCCGGCCUGGGAGGGUGGCCGGUCACACUGGGACUGAGCCACGGCCCAGACUCCUACGGGAGGCAGCAGUGGGGAAUAUUGCACAAUGGGCGCAAGCCUGAUGCAGCGACGCCGCGUGAGGGAUGGAGGCCUUCGGGUUGUGAACCUCUUUCGCCAGUGAAGCAGGCCUGCCUCGUUUGUGGGUGGGUUGACGGUAGCUGGAGAAGAAGCGCCGGCUAACUACGUG